Molecule: long non-coding RNA, 1056 nt
Filed under: Brassica napus (rape)
Lineage: Eukaryota; Viridiplantae; Streptophyta; Magnoliopsida; Brassicales; Brassicaceae
Description: long non-coding RNA (BNAP_LNC026618)
Source: RNAcentral
AUUUUGAGAAAAUUUCAAAAAAUACGAGAAUAUUGUUUUAAUGCAUAGUUGCAUCCUCCACUAACUUAUGAUGAAGUUCAAAGAGGUUUGGAACCUUUGUUGUCUCCGUUUCUCUAGGGAAUAGCAAUUUUAUAGUGGUUAGUCUAAUGAUUUAUGGAGUAUUUGCAGUUUUGCUAAAUUAAUAGAUAAAAAAUUAGAACCAUGUCCAUGUACCAUGAAAAGAAGUUUAUCAGACAUUAAUACAAAGGUAUAAUGUGGUUUUAAAUUUUAAAACAAAUUUAAAGAUUAUAGGCUUCAUAUAUAGAUUAUUUACCGAAAACUCACUAUUUUCGUAGGAGUUAACACAUAUAUUUUGAAAAAAAAUUAAAAAAAUUGAAAAUACUGUUUUAAUGCAUAUUUGAAUCAUGUAAUAAAAUAUGAUGAAGUUCAAAGAGGUUUGGUACAUUUGUUGUCUCCGUUUCUCUAGGGAAUAGCAAUUUUAUAGUUGUUAGUCUAAUGAUUUAGGGAGUAUUUGCAGUUUUGCUAAAUUAAUUGAUAAAAAAUUAGAACGAUUUCCAUGUACCAUGAAAAGGAGUUUAUCAUAAAUUAAUACAAAUGUAUAAUGUGGUUAUAAAUUUUAAAACGAAUUAAAAGAUUAUAAGCUUCAUAUAUAGAUCAUUUACCGAAAACUCACUAUUUUCGUAGGGUACGCAUAGAUUUUGAGAAAAAUUCAAAAAAUUUGACAAUACUGUUUAAUGCAUAGUUGUAUCAUGUAAUAACAUAUGAUGAAUUUAAAAGAGGUUUGGUACCUUUGUUGUUUCCGUUUCUCUAAGGAAUAGCAAUUUUAUAGUGAUUAGUCCAAUAAUUUAGGGAGUAUUUGCUGUUUUGCUAAAUUAAUGGAUAAAAAAUUAGAACGAUCUCCAAGUACCAUGAAAAGAGUUUUGCUAAAUUAAUGGAUAAAAUUUAUAGUGAUUAGUCCAAUAAUUUAGGGAGUAUUUGCAGUUUUGCUAAAUUAAUGGAUAAAAAAUUAGAACGAUGUCCAAGUACCAUGAAAAGAAGUUUAUCAUACAUUAAUAC